Molecule: ribosomal RNA, 392 nt
Filed under: uncultured Gammaproteobacteria bacterium
Lineage: Bacteria; Pseudomonadati; Pseudomonadota; Gammaproteobacteria
Description: bacterial SSU rRNA
Rfam family: Bacterial small subunit ribosomal RNA
Source: RNAcentral
AAUGGGGGAAACCCUGAUCCAGCCAUGCCGCGUGAGUGAUGAAGGCCUUAGGGUCGUAAAGCUCUUUCGCCUGGGAUGAUAAUGACAGUACCAGGUAAAGAAACCCCGGCUAACUCCGUGCCAGCAGCCGCGGUAAUACGGAGGGGGUUAGCGUUGUUCGGAAUUACUGGGCGUAAAGCGCACGUAGGCGGACUGUUAAGUUAGAGGUGAAAUCCCGGGGCUCAACCCCGGAACUGCCUUUAAUACUGGCAGUCUAGAGUUCGAGAGAGGUGAGUGGAAUUCCGAGUGUAGAGGUGAAAUUCGUAGAUAUUCGGAGGAACAUCAGUGGCGAAGGCGGCUCACUGGCUCGAUACUGACGCUGAGGUGCGAAAGUGUGGGGAGCAAACAGGAUU